This is a microRNA precursor of Choloepus hoffmanni (Hoffmann's two-fingered sloth), 102 nucleotides long. The record is from Ensembl. Lineage: Eukaryota; Metazoa; Chordata; Mammalia; Pilosa; Megalonychidae.
GUGUGAUGUUGCCCAUUGGCAUAAACCCGUAGAUCCGAUCUUGUGGUGAAGUGAACCGCACAAGCUCGCUUCUAUGGGUCCGUGUCAGUGCGGUAAUCUGAC